Penaeus indicus is the source of this 791-nucleotide long non-coding RNA. RefSeq lists it as uncharacterized. The transcript is spliced from 4 exons. Lineage: Eukaryota; Metazoa; Arthropoda; Malacostraca; Decapoda; Penaeidae. The record is from RefSeq and is a predicted model, not a curated record.
AGUGUUUGCCUGGCGCUCGGCCGGUGAGGGACUCUUACUGGCUGUCUCGGAUUUGACUCCUUCAACCUUCCCGCGUUUACUGCAUCCUGGAGCAGCGGGAUAUUGAAGCCGAUGUGGGAGUGUCGCCCUCGCGUCAAGUCUCUCUCAACAGCCCAAGGAGUGCCACUUAAGAGGAGUCCAGCCGGCUCCGACCUCUGACCCGGCCCGUGACCUUUGAGCGCGCGUGAUGGCGAUCGUCGAGAGAUGAAGUGCGUCGCGAAUCUCUAAGGAAAGGAAGUGCAGCCUCGACGUCGAAUCUCCGGAAGCGCUUCGGAACAAGCUUCGUCCGGUGCACCGAGUCCGAACGAAUCCGCUCGGCGUCUGGUGCAAGCAACCUGCCGUGCCUCUCCGCUGUAGCGCAGCGCAGUGACGAGCAGUGAGAAGUAACAGAGUGUGUGUUUACGUGUGAUUACCAGUGACCCAACAAAAGGAAAUAAACAACAAAAACGCCGUCAGCCCUUUCGCGAGUGAGUGUUGCGCGGAGCCUCGGAUCGUCCGCCCGCGCUGGAGGCCAGAAGUGGUUGUCGCAAGCUGUCGCCAUCCAUUUCCACCGCGAGAGCUCGCCCGCGCUAGAGCUCCAGCUCCAGCUCAACACCUCCUCGCUUGCUGGGCCAUGUGGCAGGAUCAGCAGCGCUUGGCAGUCCCGCGUCGGAGGAUCCUCUAGGACCCACUAAGAAGCUGCUAGAACGCCCGAGGCCUCAUAAAAUAGAAGAGGCCCCCCCCCCGCCCCCCCUGCCCCAGAAUCUUCGGGU